Molecule: transfer RNA, 77 nt
Filed under: Nostoc linckia z15
Lineage: Bacteria; Bacillati; Cyanobacteriota; Cyanophyceae; Nostocales; Nostocaceae
Description: tRNA-Ala
Rfam family: tRNA
About the family: Transfer RNA (tRNA) molecules are approximately 80 nucleotides in length. Their secondary structure includes four short double-helical elements and three loops (D, anti-codon, and T loops).
Source: RNAcentral
GGGGGAUUAGCUCAGCUGGCUAGAGCRCCUGCYUUGCAMGCAGGAGGUCAUCGGUUCGACUCCGAUAUUCUCCACAA